GGCGGGGUAGCUCAGCUGGUUAGAGCGUCGGAAUCAUAAUCCGUAGGUCGUGGGUUCGAGUCCCUCCCCCGCUA
RNAcentral lists this transfer RNA (74 nucleotides) under Bacteroidota bacterium. Its description in RNAcentral is "tRNA-Met". It matches the Rfam family "tRNA". From Rfam's summary of the family: Transfer RNA (tRNA) molecules are approximately 80 nucleotides in length. Their secondary structure includes four short double-helical elements and three loops (D, anti-codon, and T loops). RNAcentral also lists the same sequence under 3 other names. Lineage: Bacteria; Pseudomonadati; Bacteroidota. The record is from RNAcentral.